AGUGAAUAGAUACCCAGGUAGUCCACGCCGUAAACUAUGAACACUGGGUGUCGGGAAACUUACCUUCUCGGUACCGUAGCUAAACGCGUUAAAGUGUUCCGCCUGAGGAUUACGGUCGCAAGAUUAAAACUCAAAGAAAUUGACGGGGGCCCGCACAAGCGGUGGAGUAUGUGGUUUAAUUCGACGCAAACGCGAAAAACCUUACCUGGGCUUGACAUCCCGCGCUAUCCCAUGAAAGUGGGAGUUCCCGCAAGGGACGCGGAGACAGGUGCUGCAUGGCUGUCGUCAGCUCGUGUCGUGAGAUGUUGGGUUAAGUCCCGCAACGAGCGCAACCCUCGCCAUCAGUUGCCAGCAUUAAGUUGGGCACUCUGAUGGGACCGCUUGCCGAUAAGGCAGAGGAAGGUGGGGAUGACGUCAAGUCCGCAUGGCCCUUACGCCCAGGGCCACACACGUACUACAAUGAUCAACACAAAGCGCAGCGAGCCUGUGAAGGCAAGCUAAUCGCAAAAAAUUGGUCCAAGUUCGGAUUGGAGUCUGCAAC
This 541-nucleotide ribosomal RNA is filed under the name uncultured bacterium. Its description in RNAcentral is "bacterial SSU rRNA". It matches the Rfam family "Bacterial small subunit ribosomal RNA", at positions 773 to 1311 of the family's 1533-position model. The record is from RNAcentral.